AACAUUUGUGCCUCUAACCUCAACCUUAUUCAAGUCACUUACACCAUCUGCUUUACCAUUGAGAAUAUCUUCAACCAGUUUUCCAAUGACAACUUCAGUUUCAUCAACAUUAAUUACAACCUUAGUUAUGUUGUCAGUUUCAUCCUCUAUAUGUCCAUCAUAAUAAUCAGGUUGAGAAACUGAAUGUUGCACAUACAAAUGAACACUCUUAUGUACCAUACAUAAAUCAACUAUCUCUUGGGUCCCUUUAUCAUCAGUCAAAGUAAACAAACCAAUUGUUGGAUCCUUGUAUAUUACUGUUCCAGAUUCCUCAUAUCCCAGUUCU
Molecule: long non-coding RNA, 325 nt
Filed under: Lathyrus oleraceus (garden pea)
Lineage: Eukaryota; Viridiplantae; Streptophyta; Magnoliopsida; Fabales; Fabaceae
Description: Pisum sativum (pea) long non-coding RNA (PSAT_LNC006447)
Source: RNAcentral